UACGGAGGAUGCGAGCGUUAUCCGGAUUUAUUGGGUUUAAAGGGUGCGUAGGCGGAAUAUCAAGUCAGCGGUAAAAAUUCGGGGCUCAACCCCGUCGUGCCGUUGAAACUGAUGUUCUUGAGUGGGCGAGAAGUAUGCGGAAUGCGUGGUGUAGUGGUGAAAUGCAUAGAUAUCACGCAGAACUCCGAUUGCGAAGGCAGCAUACCGGCGCCCUACUGACGCUGAGGCACGAAAGCGUGGGUAUCGAACAGG
RNAcentral lists this ribosomal RNA (252 nucleotides) under uncultured bacterium. Its description in RNAcentral is "partial 16S ribosomal RNA". It matches the Rfam family "Bacterial small subunit ribosomal RNA", at positions 524 to 776 of the family's 1533-position model. The record is from RNAcentral.